GAUGAAGAACGCAGCGAAAUGCGAUACGUAAUGUGAAUUGCAAAUUCAGUGAAUCAUCGAGUCUUUGAACGCACAUUGCGCCCCCUGGUAUUCCGGGGGGCAUGCCUGUCCGGGCGUCAUUGCUGCCCUCAAGCACGGCUUGUGUGUUGGGCCCCGUCCUCCGAUCCCGGGGGACGGGCCCGAAAGGCAGCGGCGGCACCGCGUCCGGUCCUCGAGCGUAUGGGGCUUUGUCACCCGCUCUGUAGGCCCGGCCGGCGCUUGCCGAUCAACCCAAAUUUUUAUCCAGGUUGACCUCGGAUCAGGUAGGGAUACCCGCUGAACUUAAGCAUAUCAAUAAGCGGAGGA
RNAcentral lists this unclassified non-coding RNA (345 nucleotides) under soil metagenome. RNAcentral describes it as "partial contains 5.8S ribosomal RNA, internal transcribed spacer 2, and large subunit ribosomal RNA". The stretch from base 1 to 119 matches the Rfam family "5.8S ribosomal RNA", at positions 35 to 154 of the family's 154-position model. The record is from RNAcentral.